RNAcentral lists this long non-coding RNA (492 nucleotides) under Apteryx owenii (little spotted kiwi). RNAcentral's name for it is "lncRNA (ENSAOWG00000008052.1)". Lineage: Eukaryota; Metazoa; Chordata; Aves; Apterygiformes; Apterygidae. The record is from RNAcentral.
CUAGUAAAGCGGUUUUACAUUUAUUGGCUUUUGGUAUCGUUUUUAAUUUGCAGCUUACUGCUUGAUGGCCUCACUUGAUUGGUACAGUAUGACAACAGUAUGUUGGUUUAUCCUCUCCAUGGAGCUUCGUGCCAAUAUGGAAAAUUAAAGCAAGACGGAAAUGCUUUGCAGUAUGAAGUUUAUCUGAAAAAUGUUUCAUAACUGCAUUUGGAAACUUCCUUCUGAACAUCUGAAAAAUAUCAAGAAUUUAAAAAAAUGAAGUGUGUGCUUAAGUCUGUUGCGUACAGUUCCAUCCAUGCUCCUACAUUACAGAGGCAGAUUUAUAAGUCUCUAGAAUUCCUACUUAUAUGGAGAGGAAGGGAAGAGGAAGGAGAACACUGUGCAGUAAAGAUCACAUGCAACCUAUUACAUUUGCUAAAGAAUGAUCCAGAUGAAAUGUCUCAUUUUGAAUUCUCUUCCGUGGAAGGCUGCAGGUGCAUGUUCAUAAUUUGA